UAAGGGAUAUUGCGCAAUGGGCGAAAGCCUGACGCAGCAACGCCGCGUGGAGGAUGACGGCCUUCGGGUUGUAAACUCCUUUUGAGGCUGACGAGGAAGGACGGUAGGCCUCGAAGAAGUCACGGCUAACUACGUGCCAGCAGCCGCGGUAAAACGUAGGUGGCGAGCGUUAUCCGGAUUUACUGGGCGUAAAGCGUGUGCAGGCGGGGCCUCAAGUGGUGUAUGAAAUCGCUCGGCUUAACCGGGCGCGGUUAUGCCAGACUGAGGUUCUGGAGUGCGGGAGAGGGGCGUGGAAUUCCGGGUGUAGUGGUGAAAUGCGUAGAGAUCCGGAGGAACCCCAGAGGCGAAGGCGGCGCCCUGGCCCGACACUGACGCUCAGACACGACAGCAUGGGGAGCGAACGG
Molecule: ribosomal RNA, 404 nt
Filed under: uncultured bacterium
Lineage: Bacteria
Description: bacterial SSU rRNA
Rfam family: Bacterial small subunit ribosomal RNA
Source: RNAcentral